UGCCCCCAUUUUCGUGAACCUCGGGAACUGAGGGUAAACCACGAUAGAUGAUCCUUCCUGGAAUGGUGGAUCGUCCAAACUCGUGCUAUAGGAUGGGCCGGCGGCUGAUUAGGCUGUUGGUGGGGUAACGGCCCACCAAACCAAAGAUCAGUACGGGCCAUGAGAGUGGUAGCCCGGAGAGGGACACUGAGAUACGGGUCCCAGCCCUACGGGGUGCAGCAGGCGCGAAAACUCUACAAUGCACGCAAGUGUGAUAGGGGGAUACUCAGUGCUUACGCCUAUGGUGUAGGCUUUUGUCGAGUGUAGCUAGCUCGGCGAAUAAGUGGUGGGCAAGACCGGUGCCAGCCGCCGCGGUAACACCGGCGCCACGAGUGGUCGUCACGAUUAUUGGGCCUAAAGCGUCCGUAGCUGGUAUGGUGCAUCCCUUGUGAAAUUGUGCGGCUUAACCGCACAGCGUGCAGGGGACACGGCCAUACUCGAGACCGGGAGGCGUGCGAGGUAUUCCAUAGGGACCGGUAAAAUGGGAUAAUCUAUGGAGGACCACCGAUGGCGAAGGCAUCGCACGAGAACGGAUCUGACAGUGAGGGACGAAAGCCAGGGGAGCGAACCGGAUUAGAUACCCGAGUAGUCCUGGCCGUAAACGCUGUGAGCAAGGUGUCGGGCAUCCCAAGAGGAUGCCCGGUGUCGCAACGAAGGUGAUAAGCUCACCGCCUGGGAAGUACGGUCGCAAGACUGAAACUUUAAGGAAUUGGCGGGGGAGCAC
Molecule: ribosomal RNA, 763 nt
Filed under: uncultured archaeon
Lineage: Archaea
Description: bacterial SSU rRNA
Rfam family: Archaeal small subunit ribosomal RNA
Source: RNAcentral